GACGAACCGUGCGAACGUUAUUCGGAAUCACUGGGCUUAAAGCGCGUGUAGGCGGGAGGACACGUCCGUUGCUGAAAUCCCCCGGCUCAACCGGGGAACGGGCGCGGAUACGACCUUCCUGGAGGGGCGUAGGGGGACCUGGAACUUCCGGUGGAGCGGUGAAAUGCGUUGAGAUCGGAAGGAACGCCCGUGGCGAAAGCGAGGUCCUGGACGCCUACUGACGCUGAGACGCGAAAGCCAGGGGAGCGAACGGG
This 254-nucleotide ribosomal RNA is filed under the name uncultured bacterium. RNAcentral describes it as "partial 16S ribosomal RNA". It matches the Rfam family "Bacterial small subunit ribosomal RNA", at positions 524 to 776 of the family's 1533-position model. The record is from RNAcentral.